RNAcentral lists this transfer RNA (56 nucleotides) under Camelus bactrianus (Bactrian camel). It matches the Rfam family "tRNA", at positions 9 to 63 of the family's 71-position model. Rfam says of the family: Transfer RNA (tRNA) molecules are approximately 80 nucleotides in length. RNAcentral also lists the same sequence under 2 other names. Lineage: Eukaryota; Metazoa; Chordata; Mammalia; Artiodactyla; Camelidae. The record is from Rfam by way of RNAcentral.
AGCUCAGUGGUAGAGCACAUACUUAGCAUGUAUGAAGUCCUGGGUUCAAGCCCCAG